UCUGGUAAUGAUGGCAGAGAGGUCACACCCGUUCCCAUACCGAACACGGAAGUUAAGUUCUCUAGCGCCGAUGGUAGUUGGGACCUUGUCCCUGUGAGAGUAGGACGUUGCCAGGC
RNAcentral lists this ribosomal RNA (116 nucleotides) under Bacillus cereus. RNAcentral also lists the same sequence under 8 other names. The record is from RNAcentral. Lineage: Bacteria; Bacillati; Bacillota; Bacilli; Caryophanales; Bacillaceae.